AGGGGGGACGGAGAAGGCUAUGUUGGCCGGGCGACGGUUGUCCCGGUUUAAGCGUGUAGGUGUGUGUUCCAGGUAAAUCCGGUUCACUUUAACACUGAGGCGUGACGACGAGGCACUACGGUGCUGAAGCAACAAAUGCCCUGCUUCCAGGAAAAGCCUCUAAGCAUCAGGUAACAUCAAAUCGUACCCCAAACCGACACAGGUGGUCAGGUAGAGAAUACCAAGGCGCUUGAGAGAACUCGGGUGAAGGAACUAGGCAAAAUGGUGCCGUAACUUCGGGAGAAGGCACGCUGACAC
RNAcentral lists this ribosomal RNA (297 nucleotides) under Salmonella enterica subsp. enterica serovar Typhimurium. RNAcentral describes it as "partial 23S ribosomal RNA". It matches the Rfam family "Bacterial large subunit ribosomal RNA", at positions 1465 to 1757 of the family's 2925-position model. Lineage: Bacteria; Pseudomonadati; Pseudomonadota; Gammaproteobacteria; Enterobacterales; Enterobacteriaceae. The record is from RNAcentral.